ACGGGAAAGGGUCCAAGGAUAUCCAUCCCCCAUUGCGCAAACGGCCAUGGGGCACUCAAGGGGGUAAGCUCGAUGGCGGGCUGUCUCUGGAUGUUGGCAUAUCUCUAACAUCGAUCGUACUUUCUGACGUACUCAAUUGAGUCACGAUGCAUAGUCGGCCAGUAAUAUCCUUGGCGGAGCAACUUGUGGGAUAAGGAUCUAGCCCCCAGAUGGCUUCCGCAGAUUCCUUCAUGCACCUCCCACAAGGCGUCGUCGGCUUCCGAAGGUUGGAGACAUUUUAAGAGGGGCAAAGAGUAUGAUCUCUUGUACAUCUUGUCCUCAUAGAGGAUGUACUGGGAGGCUUGAUUUCUGAGCUUUCGAGCUUUUUUUGCAUCAUGAGGGAGAACCCCGUCCCUGAGAUAUACCACCAGCGGGUUGAUCCAACUGGGCUCAUGAUCAAUUUCCAUCACGGGUCGCGAUUCCUCCGUACUUGGGCACUUCAGAACUUCAAAAAGAACACCCUUGGGCAACUCAGCUGGAGCCAGCGUAGCUAGCUUAGAGAGA
RNAcentral lists this long non-coding RNA (543 nucleotides) under Elaeis guineensis (African oil palm). RNAcentral describes it as "long non-coding RNA (EGUI_LNC076559)". Lineage: Eukaryota; Viridiplantae; Streptophyta; Magnoliopsida; Arecales; Arecaceae. The record is from RNAcentral.